AUACGUAGGGAGCGAGCGUUGUCCGGAAUUACUGGGCGUAAAGGGCGCGUAGGCGGCGCUUCAAGUCGUCUGUCAAAUGGGAGGGCUUAACCCUUUUUCGCAGACGAAACUGGAGAGCUUGAGAAGCAGAGAGGCAAACAGAAUUCCUGGUGUAGCGGUGAAAUGCGUAGAUAUCAGGAAGAAUACCAGUGGCGAAGGCGGUUUGCUGGCUGCAUACUGACGCUGAAGCGCGAAAGCCAGGGGAGCGAACGGGAUUAGAUACCCCGGUAGUCCUGGCAGUAAACGAUGUAUGCUGGGUGUGAGACUAGCGAUAGUUUCGUGCCGAAGUUAACGCGAUAAGCAUACCGCCUGGGGAGUACGGUCGCAAGAUUGAAACUCAAAGGAAUUGACGGG
This 393-nucleotide ribosomal RNA is filed under the name uncultured bacterium. RNAcentral's name for it is "partial 16S ribosomal RNA". It matches the Rfam family "Bacterial small subunit ribosomal RNA", at positions 523 to 917 of the family's 1533-position model. The record is from RNAcentral.